This 64-nucleotide transfer RNA is filed under the name Dipodomys ordii (Ord's kangaroo rat). It matches the Rfam family "tRNA". From Rfam's summary of the family: Transfer RNA (tRNA) molecules are approximately 80 nucleotides in length. Their secondary structure includes four short double-helical elements and three loops (D, anti-codon, and T loops). Lineage: Eukaryota; Metazoa; Chordata; Mammalia; Rodentia; Heteromyidae. The record is from Rfam by way of RNAcentral.
GGUGGCUCAGUGGUAGAGUGCUUGCCUUGCAUGCAUGAGGUCCUAGGUUUGAUUCUCAGCACCG